Molecule: long non-coding RNA, 481 nt
Filed under: Nicotiana benthamiana
Lineage: Eukaryota; Viridiplantae; Streptophyta; Magnoliopsida; Solanales; Solanaceae
Description: long non-coding RNA (NBEN_LNC013862)
Source: RNAcentral
AAUGAUUAAAGUAAAAAGAGAGUGGAUUGUGAGGUCCAUGUUUGACUGCUUUUGUUGAUUGGAAAAUUAGAAAUAGUAGGGUAAUAAUAAAAGGGGUAGUAAUAAUAGUAAAAGGGUAGAAGAUGAGAGAGUCUUGCUUGGGAUAAAUAGGGGUCAUUAUAACACUUAAAAGGGACGGAAUUUUGGAGAGAUAAAAAAUUUCAAAACUUAAGAGUAAAAGGGAGGUCUUUUUUUUACCGCUGAAUAUCAGAACUAGUACUAUUACUAUUUCACUGGUUAUUGUUGGAUUUUUUGCUUGGUUUUUAAAUCUAUUCCUGGGGUCUUCCUGCACCGUUUGUUGCUAGUUUAUUGCUUUGGUUGCUGAACAUGUUGUUGUGUUGUGCUACUGCUGCACUACUGACUUCUUCCUCUUCUUUUCUUUCCAAAUACAAGGUACACGACUGUAACACUGGCUAUUGUAAGCUGAAAAAUGUAGAAGCAU